AUCCAGCUGACAAGUCUGAAAUAAAACGAAACGCGCGUCCUGGAU
This 45-nucleotide non-coding RNA is filed under the name Schistosoma margrebowiei. Lineage: Eukaryota; Metazoa; Platyhelminthes; Trematoda; Strigeidida; Schistosomatidae. The record is from RNAcentral.